UUAUUCCCGAAUUCACUUUUAACCUAGAAGCAAGCUGCCGACACACCCAGGAAGCUGCCGUUGCACCAAGCCGAUCGCGAUGACCCUCACACCCAGCAUGCUCGCCUUCAUGUUCAUCUAACCCUCACACCCAACCCUCUCUCCGUCACACCCAAACCCUAAAUCACUUUCUCAUUCACCACUCUCAUCACUACUCUAUGAUUAACUGUGCCUGGAGCUCCACCGUCUUCAUUUCACCGCGCCUCGAGCUCCGCGGUGCACGAUUCACUGCGCCUCAAGCUCCUUUGUCUCUCCGUCUUGAGCAUCACCGCCUUCGUCAGACCAGCGUCGUAGCCGAGCCGUCGUCCCCUUCUUUAUCCCUCCCAGGCAUCGGCGUGCCCUCCUACUCCCUCAGUGGUCUCUGUCUCGCAAACCUUCGUUGGAUUCCGAACCCUCUGUCUCUGUCUCAAUCGGCACCGUAAGCACUGGUUCAUUCAGACAUAUGGUACACAGAUAGUAGUAGGUAUGGCUGUUUGUAAUCUGUGUCAAACAGAAGCAUUCUUCAAAGAUUUCUCCUGGUGAUCUCAGAAGACGUUUAGAAGAUCUUGGAGAUUUUCUGUUUUCAGAUGUAAGGAGUCCUUCUUUACUACAGAGGCAGACAGCUGAUGGCAAAUAGAAGGCCAUCCAGGAUUUUGGUUUGAAAGGAACAAGCAUGUUUGAUGCUGAUAACUUUCCUGGCUUUCAAGUUGGGGAUAAGAAGAUCCUAGCAUGGAAGAAAUAGUUCCAAGGAGCUUGGACUUCGGAGUUCGAUGAUAGCAGGCCCUACCAAGAAGGUUUUGAACGUGCUUAAGAAGAAGGUGCAAAAAGUGAUGGCAAAUCUGAUCAUAUAGGAGUUGAAAGCUAGAGGAAUUAACAAUGAGCACACUCUUGCUUAUCAGAGUCGAGUGGGCCCGGUACAGUGGUUGAAACCAUAUAUAGAUGAAACUCUCGUUGAGCUUGGUCAGAAAGGUGUGAGGAGUCUUUUAGCUGUUCCAGUGAGCUUUGUGAGUGAGCACAUAGAGACCCUUGAAGAAAUUGACAUGGAGUACAGGAAGUUGGCUCUUGAAUCUGGCAUCAAGAAUUGGGUGCGUGUUCCUGCUCUUAGUCUCAGCCCUUCCUUCAAUACAGACCUGGCAGAUGUAGUGAUAGAAGCUCUUCCAUCUUCAAAAGCAAUGUAUGCAUCUACCAGCACUUCUGAAGAAGAGCAUGACCCACUUAGAGUUCCGGCGAUUGUGGUUUCAGAAAGGGUAUAACAGCAUUUUCAAGCUGAUAGUUACAAUACAAAACUGCAGUAAGAAAAAUGGGAAGUAAAGAAACUGCAUUGAUAUUCAUGCAUGAAGAAUAUGAAAUCCUCAAGCGCUACAAAAAUGAUAGAAGUUCUUCCAAGAGAUAGAAUAAGUUAAUGACUUUAUAAGUUUUAUAUGUACUGAUAUUUUUUAUCCCAAUGUAUUUUAUAACCAAUUUUAUAACUACUUUGGUUAUAAGAGAUUGAUAUAGCUAAUUUGGUUUGAAUUUUAUUAAUGUAAUACUAAUUUUCAUUAAUUAAUUUUUUAAAUGAUAUUCAAUGAUUUUAGUCAA
Arachis ipaensis is the source of this 1596-nucleotide non-coding RNA. NCBI's taxonomy places the organism in Eukaryota, Viridiplantae, Streptophyta, Magnoliopsida, Fabales, Fabaceae. The record is from RefSeq and is a predicted model, not a curated record.